This 174-nucleotide ribosomal RNA is filed under the name Triticum aestivum (bread wheat). RNAcentral describes it as "partial small subunit ribosomal RNA". Lineage: Eukaryota; Viridiplantae; Streptophyta; Magnoliopsida; Poales; Poaceae. The record is from RNAcentral.
AUGAAAUUAAAUCUUUAUGUAGCGACUUCUAAGCGCAUUGUUUAGGAUUGUGAAGUGAAAAAAAUCAUUUUAUUCACUAAUAGUUGCCAAAUUUAAGUAUUACCAAACCACGCCCCCGUUAACACAUCGGUAGAUAUGCGUCCUUUGAAAAUAUACCUCCUCAACAAUCAAUGA